AUUGAACGCUGGCGGCAUGCCUUACACAUGCAAGUCGAACGGCAGCGGGGGAGAAGCUUGCUUUUCCUGCCGGCGAGUGGCGAACGGGUGAGUAAUACAUCGGAACGUGCCCUGUAGUGGGGGAUAACUAGUCGAAAGAUUAGCUAAUACCGCAUACGACCUGAGGGUGAAAGUGGGGGACCGCAAGGCCUCAUGCUAUAGGAGCAGCCGAUGUCUGAUUAGCUAGUUGGUGGGGUAAAGGCCUACCAAGGCGACGAUCAGUAGCUGGUCUGAGAGGACGAUCAGCCACACUGGGACUGAGACACGGCCCAGACUCCUACGGGAGGCAGCAGUGGGGAAUUUUGGACAAUGGGCGAAAGCCUGAUCCAGCAAUGCCGCGUGUGUGAAGAAGGCCUUCGGGUUGUAAAGCACUUUUGUCCGGAAAGAAAUGGCUCUGGUUAAUACCUGGGGUCGAUGACGGUACCGGAAGAAUAAGGACCGGCUAACUACGUGCCAGCAGCAGCCGCGG
This 508-nucleotide ribosomal RNA is filed under the name uncultured bacterium. RNAcentral's name for it is "partial 16S ribosomal RNA". It matches the Rfam family "Bacterial small subunit ribosomal RNA", at positions 30 to 523 of the family's 1533-position model. The record is from RNAcentral.